This 986-nucleotide long non-coding RNA is filed under the name Phoenix dactylifera (date palm). RNAcentral describes it as "long non-coding RNA (PDAC_LNC013879)". The record is from RNAcentral. Lineage: Eukaryota; Viridiplantae; Streptophyta; Magnoliopsida; Arecales; Arecaceae.
AUUAUUAUUAUUAUUAUUAUUUUUCUUGCUUGGUUGAGCUGAUUCGAGAAGGAUUAAUAUAUUGGGGAGUUUGGUUGUAAGAAGCAUUGGUCAAAAAUUACAUGCCACGGAAUUGGAUUUGGUUGUAAGAAAUAAUUUGUAAAAAAUGAUUUUAAUAUGCAUCGAUAAUAGAAACUGCAGACCAAUUUACCUUACUCGUCUGAUUUUAGUGCAUCACGCUACAAAAAUCUUGCGUUUUCCUAUUAGAAAUAUUAUAAAAAUGUUUAUGUUUUCAAGUGUUCGUAGUCGUUUUGACAUUUCUAGCUUCUGAGCUAGAAUAGAAAAUUGUGCCGCCUAAAUUUGGUAAAAAAGAAAACGGGUCCUACACGAAAUGUCUCGUAGUUUUAGGUUUUUAGGUUUGCUAGAUUCUUAGAAUCCUUAUCAACAAGUCCGGCUAGUUUUCUUUGUCGACAAGUUGACAUUUUUUAUUUAUAGUAAUGGUUGGGUCGAAUUCUAAACGAGGCUGACAUUCGAGUGUCCUCUUUCUUAACCAUUAUCGGACAACUAGGAUCAUCUCCCUGGUUCUUAUCACUAAGUCAAGUUACAUAAUGAUCAAUUAAAUACGAAUUAUCUUCACUCAAUAAACCAAACGCGGAUGGCCAUAUCGAACAUAAUAUUCUUUUCAUUUAAACAACAGAAUAAUAUUAUCUUAAAUUUCAAAAAAUAGUAUAAGAUGCUUAACGGACUCAUAAAACAUUGUUCUAGUCCACAUGGUGAUGACUUCACCAGGUUGCAACUUGGACCAACCCCUAUUGCACUGCGCCAGAUUCUUAGAGUUGCCCCAGUCCCCAGAUGUCACGCGAGACUAGGAACAAUUUUCCCGUGACUGGAGGGAGCUUAUAGCAUCACUCCCCAAAUUUUCUUUGCAUGUUCCGUAUACUUGUGCCCUUAAAUAUGGCAGCAUAUAUGGACGUGAACAAGAGCGGUUCGAUGCAUUGAUUUGGGGG